CCACGUAUACCCAACCUCCUCUUGACAACUCAGCAUGUGUACUGCCGUUGCAAGCAUACCUCUAAAAGAACAAGUGUGCCAUUAUGACUAAUAGUAAAACUCAUAUACAUCAGGUCAAAGUGCAGCUAAUAAGAAGGUGAUGAUGGGUUACAACCCCAAAAAAGACUAUCAACUAAGAAAUUAAAAAUCUUACGAAAGUGGACUUGGCCGUAAUCAAUUUACAAGUUAAAAAAAUGAAUAAUCACCUAAGACAUGCACACAUCGCCCGUCACUCUACCCUAAAGGGUAGAUAAGUCGUAACAAAGUAGGUGUAAUGGAAAUUGCACCUGUCGAAGUAUAGCAUAUAUAAUGCUUUUUACUUACACUAAAAACAAAGUUAAAUAACUUACUUCGCCCACAUAAUAAAAUCUUACAAAUUAACAAAUAAUAGAAACAACUAAAUAAAUUAAAUAGACAAUAAAGUACAGAAAUGGAAAAUAUAAUAAAUAAAAGUAAAUUUUAACAACUGUACCUUGUGCAUUAUGGUUUUACAAGAAAAUAGUUAAAGACAACAAUCCCGAAUUCUAAGUGAGAUGUUAAACUGCUGUUAUGAACCCACUAAUAUCUGUGGAACAAGAUUUAAAAGACAGUUUAACAGAGGCUACAUACCAUCCGCAUAAGAAUAUAGCUGGUUUUCAACAAACAUUAUACAUUAAAACAUAUAAUAGUAUUAUAGUGUAAAAUUAUUGAGGAUAAGCCCAAUAAUUUUAGCAAUGGAAGAAUCAAAUCACUUUACGACCAUAGGCCCAAAAUCAGCCAAUUAAAGUACUUUAUCGUAAUAUACAGUGAUAAAAUAUAUAAAUAUACACAUGCUAAAUAAAGUUGAAAUAGUGGACUAACCACCACGCCCACUUAUACUAUGUAAAAAUAAGUAUUAUAAAUAUAUGACAACAAUAAACUAGUAAUCUUCAACACAUAAACAAUAAUAAUUAAUUAAGGAACUCGGCAAAACAUUAUUUCGACUGUUUAACAAAAACAUUGUCUCAUGUAUAAUAUAUGAGAUAAUA
This 1046-nucleotide ribosomal RNA is filed under the name Amynthas sp. 2 JS-2012. RNAcentral's name for it is "partial 12S ribosomal RNA". Lineage: Eukaryota; Metazoa; Annelida; Clitellata; Crassiclitellata; Megascolecidae. The record is from RNAcentral.